RNAcentral lists this long non-coding RNA (507 nucleotides) under Vigna radiata. RNAcentral describes it as "long non-coding RNA (VRAD_LNC004712)". The record is from RNAcentral. Lineage: Eukaryota; Viridiplantae; Streptophyta; Magnoliopsida; Fabales; Fabaceae.
AAUCUUCUAGCAUCCCUCAGUAGAUGCUAUCCAGUAGCAUUCAUCAGUAAAUGCUAAUCUUUCUAAUCUUCAUUGGCAUCCAUCAGUAGAUGUUGUAGAAGCAUCCAUCAGUAGAUGCUAUCAUCACUGCCAUCAGAAGCAGCACAUAACCCUAAUAAAAAUAAAAUAAAAUAAAAUCUAAUAAAAUAAAAUAAAAGAAAAGAAAAAGAUUCAGAAACGGGGUAGAAACUGGGUUGCCUCCCAGGUAGCGCUUCUUUAACGUCAUUAGCAUGACCCGGUAAAGCCCAAACACCCAUCAGUAGGUGUUGAUUUUUAACGUUGGCAUUCUUCCUUCCUUCAUGACACCAACAAUUUUCUUGUCACCAAGUCUAAGGAUCCUCAAUCUCAAGAGCUCUGCUUGCUUUAAUAGUCUUGACAACCCAUAACCUAAUUUUAAAUUUCAUUGAUGUGCCAGAUUAGGGUUCGUCACUUUUCACAUCAGGGUGUUGGUGAACCAACUCUCCUUCC